This 540-nucleotide ribosomal RNA is filed under the name uncultured Geobacteraceae bacterium. RNAcentral describes it as "bacterial SSU rRNA". It matches the Rfam family "Bacterial small subunit ribosomal RNA", at positions 9 to 526 of the family's 1533-position model. The record is from RNAcentral. Lineage: Bacteria; Pseudomonadati; Thermodesulfobacteriota; Desulfuromonadia; Geobacterales; Geobacteraceae.
GAGUUUGAUCCUGGCUCAGAACGAACGCUGGCGGCGUGCCUAACACAUGCAAGUCGAACGUGAUCCAGAGCUUGCUCUGGUGAAAGCGGCGCACGGGUGAGUAACGCGUGGAUAACCUACCCUGGUAUCCGGGAUAACAUUCCGAAAGGGGUGCUAAUACCGGAUAAGCCCACGGGCUCUUUGGAGCUUGCGGGAAAAGGUGGCCUCUAUUUAUAAGCUACUGUAUCAGGAUGGGUCCGCGUACCAUUAGCUAGUUGGCGGUGUAACGGACCACCAAGGCGACGAUGGUUAGCUGGUCUGAGAGGAUGAUCAGCCACACUGGAACUGAGACACGGUCCAGACUCCUACGGGAGGCAGCAGUGGGGAAUUUUGCGCAAUGGGGGAAACCCUGACGCAGCAACGCCGCGUGAGUGAUGAAGGCCUUUGGGUCGUAAAGCUCUGUCAGAGGGGAAGAAAUGAUAUAGUGCUAAUACCACUUUAUCUUGGCGGUACCCUCAAAGGAAGCACCGGCUAACUCCGUGCCAGCAGCCGCGGUAAUAC